This 424-nucleotide ribosomal RNA is filed under the name uncultured bacterium. RNAcentral describes it as "bacterial SSU rRNA". It matches the Rfam family "Bacterial small subunit ribosomal RNA", at positions 358 to 774 of the family's 1533-position model. The record is from RNAcentral.
GGAAUCUUCCACAAUGGGCGCAAGCCUGAUGGAGCAACACCGCGUGAGUGAAGAAGGGUUUCGGCUCGUAAAGCUCUGUUGUUAGAGAAGAACGUGCGUGAGAGUAACUGUUCACGCAGUGACGGUAUCUAACCAGAAAGUCACGGCUAACUACGUGCCAGCAGCCGCGGUAAUACGUAUGGGGCAAGCGUUAUCCGGAUUUACUGGGUGUAAAGGGAGCGUAGGCGGCAUGGCAAGUCAGAAGUGAAAGCCUGGGGCUCAACCCUGGAAUUGCUUUUGAAACUGUCAAGCUAGAGUGUCGGAGGGGUAAGUGGAAUUCCUAGUGUAGCGGUGAAAGGCGUAGAUAUUAGGAGGAACACCAGUGGCGAAGGCGGCUUACUGGACGACUACUGACGCUGAGGCUCGAAAGCAUGGGUAGCGAACA